Molecule: non-coding RNA, 28 nt
Filed under: Mus musculus (house mouse)
Lineage: Eukaryota; Metazoa; Chordata; Mammalia; Rodentia; Muridae
Source: RNAcentral
GGAUAUCAUGGCAGGAAUUAGGUGGCAG